Molecule: ribosomal RNA, 460 nt
Filed under: uncultured bacterium
Lineage: Bacteria
Description: partial 16S ribosomal RNA
Rfam family: Bacterial small subunit ribosomal RNA
Source: RNAcentral
CCUACGGGUGGCAGCAGUGAGGAAUAUUGGUCAAUGGACGAGAGUCUGAACCAGCCAAGUAGCGUGAAGGAUGACUGCCCUAUGGGUUGUAAACUUCUUUUAUAUGGGAAUAAAAUGUUCCACGUGUGGGAGUUUGUAUGUACCAUAUGAAUAAGGAUCGGCUAACUCCGUGCCAGCAGCCGCGGUAAUAAGGAGGAUACGAGCGUUAUCCGGAUUUAUUGGGUUUAAAGGGAGCGUAGGUGGAUUGUUAAGUCAGUUGUGAAAGUUUGCGGCACAACCGUAAAAUUGCAGUUGAAACUGGCAGUCUUGAGUACAGUAGAGGUGGGCGGAAUUCGUGGUGUAGCGGUGACAUGCUUAGAUAUCACGAAGAACUCCGAUUGCGAAGGCAGCUCACUGGACUGCAACUGACACUGAGGCUCGAAAGUGUGGGUAUCAAACAGGAUUAGAUACCCGUGUAGUC